Molecule: long non-coding RNA, 2444 nt
Filed under: Daphnia pulex (common water flea)
Lineage: Eukaryota; Metazoa; Arthropoda; Branchiopoda; Diplostraca; Daphniidae
Description: uncharacterized LOC124199979, transcript variant X2
Source: RNAcentral
CUUUUGGAGAAAAUAAGCGUCCGUGACAGAUGUCGUCUCUUCUUGAUGGCGUCUUAUCUCUUGGCAAGUGUUCACUGGCGAUGUAGAUAUACACGUAUAUACUAUACAUAUGAAUUAAGAUAGCGCGAGGUAACUGCAGAUUUGUUUCAACUGUGUUUUUCUUUUCUGCUGAAAGUGCUCGCUCUAUUGUUGUUUCCCUUCUCUUCUGAGCACUAUCGGCGACUUAUGGCGUCAUCUUGGCAUUUGAAAUGUUCAAUCCCGAUGGCACGUUUCAAAGGGAGGGCACAAAGCAUAUCUCUCCCGACCGCGGCAGCCAUCGAGGAGGAGGAGCUAUCCCCCAACUGGAAGUAAUCGAUAUCUUUCGUCUAGAAUCGAUUUCUUGUCGGUUGGUAUAAGCCCCGCAUUUUUGUUUUUGUUUUCCAAGUCAAGUUGGAAAUUAAUCCGAAAUCAAAGACAGAGAUCGGAUUGGAAGUUCAAUGGGAAAAGAAAAUUCAGAAAAAUACGAUUUAGUGUUCACACUCAGAUAUGAUUACGGAGGAAUUUUUUAAAUUGAAUUCAUCAAUUUCAAACACAAAAUUGGUGCUGUCACUAAUAUUACGUAAAAGCCGCUUUUCCGUCAUCUAGCGGUGAUAUGUUCAACUUCGUAGCCAGGUUUAUGUUUAGUGUUAAUGUUUGAAAUCCUUGGAAUAACCUAAUUGAACAAAUUUAUGAACAAAUUAACAAUGAACAUCAUCGGUCCACAGCUAGUGCAAAACAUCCAAUGUAUCAACACGUUUGAAAUUCAGCGUACUAUUAUCAUCAGCCUGUUGUCGUUGUGCACAUAUCCGAUGUGUUUCCAUAGACUACUUCGUAGAAUCGUAGUCUAUGGUAACCUUAUUGUAGUCUAUGGUGUUUAUACGGUUUGUCCUUUCUUUAUAUAAUUGGAUUAUCAACAGAUGCAGGAACAAGAACAAACCUGAUAAACAAACGGAAAUGAGAAGACAACUUAUGGAGACACGCAAGCAUAACCUGCCGGAGAUUCAGAUAGUAUGUCUUGCACUCUAUUGCUCAAGUUCUGACCGUGAACAUGGAAUUCUUAGCAACAAUAUUGAGCCGAGACUUGCAGCCAGAUGUUAAAAGAUUUGAAGCACUUUUAACUGAAACUCACAAAGACUAAAGUACACAUAGAAUAUAACUAAGAAUGAACAAGGAAGGAACGCGAAAGGCAACUGAAACUACAAGUAGGCUCCUAUCAUCAAUUCUUUGAUUAAAAUCGUCGUUCUGCUGGAUGCUUUAUCCUGUUGCUACAGAUCACUAACCCCAGCGUGGACAACACAUGUUGUUUUUUUCAUGUUUUCUACAAAUAAUGCAUUGACAGACAAGCCAUGGGUAAUCUUCAGGUUAAUUGCAGCAACUUGGGACUUGCGAGAAGUCCUGUGAAAAGACACAGGGCACAUGACCAGAUUUGUAUUUUUCUGAAUGUUCUACUCAAGUAGUAGGGAACAACUAACUUUACCUUAUUGCAUGAAUGUUGGAAUAUUUAUUGAAAUAUUUCCUAUAGUAUUCAACAUGACUAAUUUGUUAUGCCAAAGUUAGUUGGAACCCUAACUCAAACACAGACAACACGUUGCUGCUGCCUUACAGCCACAGGCAGGAAAAUGAUUCUUUUCUUCACAAAAUUGGAAAGCUGCUGGAGUAAUCUAGUACCCAUCCCCACUUGAUUCAUUUCGUGCCAGCAGCUAGUGAAUGGCGUGACGAAUUCAAAUUUAGCUGCUGCGUGCUGUCUGCAAGCAAGCAAUCCAAUUGACUGUCGCUAGGUGGCGCGAGUGUCUUCAGGGGACCAAAUCCGGCCAUUUUGUCCCUUGACGCAGCAGAAGUGGGAUGCCGGUCGUGACGUUUGGCAUGAUGAAAAUGCGAUUUCAAUACCAAUUUCUCAAAUCAUUAACUCGGACUUGAGUGCCUGUUCAUUUUGUCGAAAUGUCGUGCCUCGUGUGUCUUGCCGCCUGUACCCGUACGUCUCGUCCCAUGCAAAAGCAAAAGUCUAACAAUCCCGCUUCUUGGUGCAGCCAGAUGGUGAAAGGUGUGAUGAAGACAACUUCAACUGUUGUAUGCAGGAUGUGGUGCCAGUGUUAUGCAGAAGUAGCUGUGCUGGAAGUGUCAUAACGAAGUAGCUGUGCCAGAAUUUUUCCAAGUUGCUAACUUCAAAAUUUUAACUGUUUUCAUAUGUGUGGUUUGCUUUGCAAGUGGUAUCCCGUGUUGCUGACUUUAAAUAUUUUUAUUCGUUUUUAUUUGUGGUUUUGCUCUGCCAGUGAGUUGCUGACUUGAAUUGGUUUCAUCUUUUGUUUGUUUACUUGUGCAGUAUACGAUUGUGGCAAUCUGACCCCAUGUCAGAUUUGACAUAGUCGACAACUGCUAGAUUAAAUUCCGGCUUUCUGCACCAACAAAAUAAUAACGGCACAUGUUAU